RNAcentral lists this ribosomal RNA (253 nucleotides) under uncultured bacterium. RNAcentral describes it as "partial 16S ribosomal RNA". It matches the Rfam family "Bacterial small subunit ribosomal RNA", at positions 524 to 776 of the family's 1533-position model. The record is from RNAcentral.
UACAGAGGUCCCAAGCGUUGUUCGGAUUCACUGGGCGUAAAGAGCGUGUAGGCGGCUCGAUAAGUCUGCUGUGAAAGUCCAGGGCUCAACCCUGGAAGGCCGGUGGAAACUGUCGGGCUAGAGUCCGGAAGAGGCGAGUGGAAUUCCCGGUGUAGCGGUGAAAUGCGCAGAUAUCGGGAGGAACACCAAUGGCGAAGGCAGCUCGCUGGGACGGUACUGACGCUGAGACGCGAAAGCGUGGGGAGCAAACAGG